UACGGAGGGGGCUAGCGUUAUUCGGAAUUACUGGGCGUAAAGCGCACGUAGGCGGAUUGGAAAGUUGGAGGUGAAAUCCCAGGGCUCAACCUUGGAACUGCCUUCAAAACUCCCAGUCUUGAGGUCGAGAGAGGUGAGUGGAAUUCCGAGUGUAGAGGUGAAAUUCGUAGAUAUUCGGAGGAACACCAGAGGCGAAGGCGGCUCACUGGCUCGAUACUGACGCUGAGGUGCGAAAGCGCGGGGAGCAAACAGG
RNAcentral lists this ribosomal RNA (253 nucleotides) under uncultured bacterium. RNAcentral describes it as "partial 16S ribosomal RNA". It matches the Rfam family "Bacterial small subunit ribosomal RNA", at positions 524 to 776 of the family's 1533-position model. The record is from RNAcentral.